This is a long non-coding RNA of Fukomys damarensis (Damara mole-rat), 326 nucleotides long. RefSeq lists it as uncharacterized. The record is from RefSeq and is a predicted model, not a curated record. The transcript has 3 exons. NCBI's taxonomy places the organism in Eukaryota, Metazoa, Chordata, Mammalia, Rodentia, Bathyergidae.
UAUUUCUGAGAUCUUCUGAUAACACUGUCUGGACUGGAAAACAGAAGCAAGACCUUGAAGAGCGGCAGGGGAUGAGGAAAGUAGAACUGGAGAGGCUCAAGAUCAAAUGAACAAUAUAAAAGGCCAUUAAUGGAUUUUCUCACUGCUGGUCCAUUCUCCUUUGAGCAUGUGUCACUCUUCAGUAAGAUCUCCUCUUAAAUGAAUCCUGCUUUCAGACCAAGAUUUAUUUCAAUGCACAGCAAGCAUUCUACCAAGAAAGAAAUGAUUCUGAUCCUAAUUGAAAACAGCUUCUCUACCUUACUUUCCUUGACAAGGAACAUCAGUCU